UGAAUACGAGACGCUAAGGCGUCGAAGUAGUGUAUGUCAUACUUCCAAGAAAAGCUUGCACUGUCAUAGAUAAAAAACGCCUGUACCAUAACCGACACAGGUGGGUAGGUAGAGUAUACUAAGGGGCGCGAGAUAACUCUCUCUAAGGAACUCGGCAAAAUAACUCCGUAACUUCGGGAGAAGGAGUGCCUUAUUCGUAAGGUUGCAAUAACAAGAUCCAAGCAACUGUUUAUCAAAAACACAGGUCUCCGCUAAGUCGUAAGACGAUGUAUGGGGGCUGACGCCUGCCCAGUGCCAGAAGGUUAAAGAAGUUGGUUAGCAAUUGCGAAGCUGAUAACUGAAGCCCUGGUGAACGGCGGCCGUAACUAUAACGGUCCUAAGGUAGCGAAAUUCCUUGUCGGGUAAGUUCCGACCCGCACGAAAGGCGUAAUGAUUUGGAUACUGUCUCGGAGAGGGGCUCGGUGAAAUAGACUUGUCUGUGAAGAUGCGGACUACCUGCACCAGGACAGAAAGACCCUAUGAAGCUUUACUGUAACUUGAAAUUGAAAUUGGACUUUAUUCGCGCAGUAUAGGUGGGAGGCGUUGAUUAUAAUCUUGUGGGAUUAUUGGAGCCAUCAGUGAGAUACCACUCUUGUAAUGUUAGAUUUCUAACUUUGAAUCAUUAUCUGGUCAAAGAACAGUUUCAGGCGGGCAGUUUGACUGGGGCGGUCGCCUCCUAAACGGUAACGGAGGCGUACAAAGGUUUCCUCUGAACGGUUAGAAAUCGUAUCUAGAGUGUAAAGGCAUAAGGAAGCUUGACUGUGAGACCUACAAGUCGAGCAGGGACGAAAGUCGGUCUUAGUGAUCUGACGGUACUGAGUGGAAAGGCCGUCACUCAACGGAUAAAAGUUACUCUAGGAUAACAGGCUGAUCUCCCCCAAGAGUUCACAUCGACGGGGAGGUUUGGCACCUCGAUGUCGGCUCAUCGCAUCCUGGGGCGGUAGUACGUCCCAAGGGUUGGGCUGUUCGCCCAUGAAAGCGGUACGCGAGCUGGGUUCAGAACGUCGUGAGACAGUUCGGUCCAUAUCCGGUGUAGGCGUUAGAAUAUUGAGAGGAGCCUUCUUUAGUACGAGAGGACCGAGAAGGACAUACCUCUGGUGUACCAGUUAUCGUGCCAACGGUAAACGCUGGGUAGCUAUGUAUGGAGUGGAUAACCGCUGAAAGCAUCUAAGUGGGAAGCCCACCUCAAGAUAAGUAUUCUCAC
This 1243-nucleotide ribosomal RNA is filed under the name metagenome. RNAcentral's name for it is "bacterial LSU rRNA". It matches the Rfam family "Bacterial large subunit ribosomal RNA", at positions 1564 to 2817 of the family's 2925-position model. The record is from RNAcentral.